Molecule: transfer RNA, 74 nt
Filed under: Rhodospirillaceae bacterium
Lineage: Bacteria; Pseudomonadati; Pseudomonadota; Alphaproteobacteria; Rhodospirillales; Rhodospirillaceae
Also listed under: 1 other name
Description: tRNA-Gln
Rfam family: tRNA
About the family: Transfer RNA (tRNA) molecules are approximately 80 nucleotides in length. Their secondary structure includes four short double-helical elements and three loops (D, anti-codon, and T loops).
Source: RNAcentral
UGGGGCGUAGCCAAGUGGUAAGGCAUCGGGUUUUGAUCCCGUGAUCGCAGGUUCGAUCCCUGCCGCCCCAACCA